GACGAACGCUGGCGGCGUGCUUAACACAUGCAAGUCGAACGAGAAAGCCCUUCGGGGUAAGUACAGUGGCGAACGGGUGAGUAACACGUGGGCAACCUGCCCCAGAGAGCGGGACAACCCGGGGAAACCCGGGCUAAUACCGCAUGAUGCGUCGCCACUUAAGUGGAGCCGCCAAAUGGUAGCUUCGGCCCCCGCUCUGGGAUGGGCCCGCGCCGGGUUAGCUAGUUGGUUGGGGUAACGGCCCACCAAGGCCAAGAUCCGUAGCUGGUCCGGGAGGACGAUCAGCCACACUGGGACUGAGACACGGCCCAGACUCCUACGGGAGGCAGCAGUGGGGAAUAUUGCACAAUGGGGGAAACCCUGAUGCAGCAACGCCGCGUGAGUGAUGAAGGUCUUCGGAUUGUAAAGCUCUGUCUUUGGGGACGAUAAUGACGGUACCCAAGGAGGAAGCCACGGCUAACUACGUGCCAGCCGCCGCAGUAA
This 483-nucleotide ribosomal RNA is filed under the name uncultured bacterium. RNAcentral's name for it is "partial 16S ribosomal RNA". It matches the Rfam family "Bacterial small subunit ribosomal RNA", at positions 28 to 523 of the family's 1533-position model. The record is from RNAcentral.